RNAcentral lists this transfer RNA (65 nucleotides) under Chlamydia sp. 32-24. Its description in RNAcentral is "tRNA-Met". It matches the Rfam family "tRNA". Rfam says of the family: Transfer RNA (tRNA) molecules are approximately 80 nucleotides in length. Lineage: Bacteria; Pseudomonadati; Chlamydiota; Chlamydiia; Chlamydiales; Chlamydiaceae. The record is from RNAcentral.
GUGAAGUGUGGGAAGUCUGCGGACUCAUAAUCCGUGGGUCCUAGGUUCAAGUCCUAGUUGCCCCA